GGAGUUGGAGUAAGAAGAAAGACCAUCAGAGUGAUGUAUACAUAUAUAUGACAGAAGAAUAAUCGACCUAGAAGCCAAAACAUCACCCUGAUCUACCAAGAAAGCUGACACUGGAAGAGAGGCUGACACGAGAAGACUUCCUAAUCCUGAAUUCUAGAAUGGGAACCUGAAUCUGAGAAGCCAAGGAAAAGAGGAAGCCUCUUGGAAAAGAGGCUAAGCUAAGAAGGUAGAAAGGAGAAGAAAAGGGCAGCAGGCUAGACCGCUGGUGAGAGAGAAUCUCCGUGGCUUGUCUGGUCUGAACUGUACCAUGAGCUGCACCGGAAGUGCUGUUAACCAGGAAGAUGGUGAGAUCGUCCCUGGAGACAGGGUGCAGGUCGAGAGGUACUUCCUCAGCAAGAGUAAGGAGAAUCUCUCUGAGUCCUGGUCACGAAUCUCUCUGAGUCCUGGUCACGUAAAAAUGGGAUGCUUCCUGGCCCUCCCGCUCAGUGGGUGGAGCUGUCACAUGACCAGGCUCCCUUGGAUUCCUCUGCGAGCAGGGCAGAACCAUAGGAGAGAACAGCCGCAGAGGGAUGGGAGCUUGUUGCCUGGCUCCAGGCUCCUCUGCCAGUGCUCCCUGUCCACAGUUUGUAUCCGAAUGACUGAAGACCCAGCCUGGUUGUCAGAUCUGGCGUCUUGUCUCACUGCUGUACCUAACUGGUUAAGAUAACUCUCUAAACGUCUGUAAGUUCAGUUUUACUGUGAAUAAAAAUGAGCAUCC
RNAcentral lists this long non-coding RNA (757 nucleotides) under Mus spretus (western wild mouse). RNAcentral describes it as "lncRNA (ENSMSPG00010009989.1)". Lineage: Eukaryota; Metazoa; Chordata; Mammalia; Rodentia; Muridae. The record is from RNAcentral.